This 407-nucleotide ribosomal RNA is filed under the name bacterium enrichment culture clone ALO1_GLFRUDD03FX3GS. RNAcentral's name for it is "bacterial SSU rRNA". It matches the Rfam family "Bacterial small subunit ribosomal RNA", at positions 9 to 416 of the family's 1533-position model. The record is from RNAcentral.
GAGUUUGAUCAUGGCUCAGAUUGAACGCUGGCGGCAUGCCUUACACAUGCAAGUCGAACGGCAGCACGGGAGCUUGCUCCUGGUGGCGAGUGGCGAACGGGUGAGUAAUGCAUCGGAACGUAUCCUGGAGUGGGGGAUAACGUAGCGAAAGUUACGCUAAUACCGCAUAUUCUGUGAGCAGGAAAGCGGGGGACCUUCGGGCCUCGCGCUCUUGGAGCGGCCGAUGUCGGAUUAGCUAGUUGGUGAGGUAAAGGCUCACCAAGGCGACGAUCCGUAGCAGGUCUGAGAGGAUGAUCUGCCACACUGGAACUGAGACACGGUCCAGACUCCUACGGAGGCAGCAGUGGGGAAUUUUGGACAAUGGGGGCAACCCUGAGUUCAGCCAUGCCGCGUGAGUGAAGAAGGCC